This 920-nucleotide long non-coding RNA is filed under the name Ornithorhynchus anatinus (platypus). RNAcentral describes it as "lncRNA (ENSOANG00000038519.1)". Lineage: Eukaryota; Metazoa; Chordata; Mammalia; Monotremata; Ornithorhynchidae. The record is from RNAcentral.
CCCACGGCUUGGUUUGAUCACAGUGCUGUGCCCAGAGAGGCUGAGAAUCUAAAGGGAAAAAAUGAAUGUUGUUGAAAAAACUGCCUAGUCUACUCUUGGCGGGAGCUGCCUGUGAGGAUGUCAGGUGGAACUGAAGUCAAGGAAUUGAAGGGGAAACAGGAAACCUAGGCUUGUGGUAUUGGCCGCUUGAGAACUACACUUCCCAGAAUCUCUCGGGAAUGAGAGCCAAUCAGCAAGCCGGACAGAGCCUUUAUUCAGUAGCAGAACCCUGGCUGGCUGCCUGUCCCUGUUUGUUGGCAUACAUUCUGAGCACCCCUGACCCUGAAUAUCUCUUCAGUCCUCCACCCAACUGCCAGUCUUCUUAGAUGGUGAGGCCUGGCCUGAGCUCCUCAAGGGGGACCCUGAGGUAAGAACCCAGAGCAAAUGAAGCAAAUGACAAAAAUCAUUUUUUAACAUCAAUUCUGAAAAACAGCUCUAAAGAUAAAGACUAAGCUGUCUAAAGAGAGUUGGCAUCAACCUUGGGGAGAAAUUACAAGUUUGAAGAGGAAAUCUUACUAUGAGCUUUUAAUAGCCUAAACUUAUAAAUCUGCUUACUCCAGUACAUAUAUUGAUAAUUUUCUGAGAUUAGAGAAAAGUAUGGAAGACUAUCACAAUCAGGUGUUCUUUGAUCAUAUACAAAGUGUCCUGUUUAAUGAUCUGUCCUAAUUAGAAUGCCAUCUUGAUUUCCAAAUCAGCUUCUUCCUUGGUUUCACAAGUGGGAUUGUAAAUUAAAAGUCGGUAAAAGGCAAUAUCAUUUAAUUGUCUGGAAAUUUCCUGCUUUAUAAUCUGUGUAAAUCUGGAUAACUGCUUCCUUCUCAAUUCAUUCUCAAUUUCAAAACAAAAGUUCUGUUCCCGAGAUGGGGUUUAUCAUUUUCUGCGGA